Molecule: ribosomal RNA, 305 nt
Filed under: uncultured bacterium
Lineage: Bacteria
Description: bacterial SSU rRNA
Rfam family: Bacterial small subunit ribosomal RNA
Source: RNAcentral
UUUUCCUACGGGGGGCAGCAGUCGGGAAUAUUGCACAAUGGAGGAAACUCUGAUGCAGUGACGCCGCGUGCAGGAAGAAGGUUUUCGGAUUGUAAACUGCUUUAGAUGGGGAAGAAAAAAGACUGUACCCAUAGAAUAAGCUCCGGCUAACUACGUGCCAGCAGCCGCGGUAAUACGUAGGGAGCAAGCGUUAUCCGGAUUUAUUGGGUGUAAAGGGCGCGUAGGCGGUUUAAUAAGUCAGUGGUGAAAACUGAGGGCUCAACCCUCAGCCUGCCACUGAUACUGUUAGACUUGAGUAUGGAAGA